RNAcentral lists this ribosomal RNA (460 nucleotides) under uncultured bacterium. RNAcentral describes it as "partial 16S ribosomal RNA". It matches the Rfam family "Bacterial small subunit ribosomal RNA", at positions 338 to 795 of the family's 1533-position model. The record is from RNAcentral.
CCUACGGGUGGCUGCAGUGAGGAAUAUUGGUCAAUGGCCGUAAGGCUGAACCAGCCAAGCCGCGUGAAGGAGGAAGGAGCUGUGGUUUGUAAACCUCUUUUAUAGGGGAAUAAAGGUAUCCACGCGUGGAUAUUUGCGUGUACCCGAUGAAAAAGCACCGGCUAACUCCGUGCCAGCAGCCGCGGUAAUACGGAGGAUGCGAGCGUUAUUCGGAAUUACUGGGUGUAAAGGGCUCGUAGGCGGUAUGUCAAGUCAGGGGUGAAAUCCCCGCGCUCAACGCGGGAACUGCCUUUGAAACUGGCAGACUGGAGUGUGUGAGAGGAUAGCGGAAUUCCAGGUGUAGGAGUGAAAUGCGUAGAUAUCGGGAGGAACAUCAGUGGCGAAGGCGACUAUCUGGCACAUAACUGACGCUGAGGAGCGAAAGCGUGGGUAGCAAACAGGAUUAGAUACCCGAGUAGUC